CAAGUUUCUGAACGGAAAGGACUAUUUCUUUUAUCGUAAAGAGUAGGGGAAAAAGGACUCCAAAGUAACCAUCAGUGAGAGAAAUUAAUAUCUCACAGUCCACCCUUUCCGCACUCCUGGCAGGGUAGGCUAGACAGGUGUUACUGCUUUUUGCAGAUGUGGGUGUUGAGAUUUGGCCGCGAGAAAGCUGCACAGGUAGAAUUUGGAGUAGAUUCAAUGGAGAAACCCCGGAAUGAAUGGGCUUAAGUAGAGAGGAGAGGGCAGAAGAAAGUUGAGACGGAUUAUAAACUAUAAGGACCGCGCAAGUCUGGAACUGUCAGGGGCCACCUUGCCACCACAUGGAGAGAAGCUGUUUGAAGAUGAAGUCAGACAAAGGCCAGCAGAACUGAGAAAUAAGAGAGGGAAGUGGAGCUCUUAUGUAGAAAUAGUUUGCACCAGUUCUUGGAGUUUCCAGUUGCAUUAUUCACAAUAGCCAACACUUGGAAACAACCUAUGUGCCCAUCAAUGGAUGAAUGGAUAGAGACAUGGUAUACACAAUGGAAUACUAUUCAGCCAUAAAAAGAUGAAAUCUUGGCAUUUCAACAUCAUAGAUGGACCUUAAAGGUAUUAUCAUAAGUGCAAUAAGUGAGAUUUCACUCAGAAGUAGAAGAUGAAAACAAUAGUGACAACAAACAAACACACAGAUAUAGAGAUUAGAUUGGUGGUUACCAGAGAGGAAGAGGAGAGUGGGGAGGGCGAAAGGAGUAAAAGGGCACAUGUGGACAGUGAUGGAUGGC
RNAcentral lists this long non-coding RNA (776 nucleotides) under Equus caballus (horse). RNAcentral describes it as "lncRNA (ENSECAG00000044943.1)". Lineage: Eukaryota; Metazoa; Chordata; Mammalia; Perissodactyla; Equidae. The record is from RNAcentral.